Molecule: ribosomal RNA, 651 nt
Filed under: Triticum aestivum (bread wheat)
Lineage: Eukaryota; Viridiplantae; Streptophyta; Magnoliopsida; Poales; Poaceae
Description: partial small subunit ribosomal RNA
Source: RNAcentral
AUGACUAGUGAUAACCUUAGAAAGAGACACAUCAUCAAACCCCUUAAUUGUGUUUACAGCUUGGAACAAGAGUCUUGUUCUCACCUAUUUUUUGAAUGUAUAGUUGCUAAACAUCUCUAGGCCCACAUUGAGGAAUAUUUCUCUAGUCAGAUUGGCUCAUCCUUCGAAUCUGUCGCCAGAUUCUGGAUUGCUACCAAAAAGUGCUCAGUUUUAAACAUUGUUAGCUCAGCUGUCCUUUGGUUCCUCUGGAAAUAUAGAAAUGCUAUGAUUUUCAGUAACACAUCCUAGAUUUCCAUUCCACAGGUCUUGAGGUUGAUCAAGAACAUGAUGAGGAACUGGGCGAUUCUCUCCUCUGGAUCGGACAAGGACAAGUUGACGAGCUUCGUGGAAACCCUAACAAGAUCCCUCCAGAAACCGUUGGCGAUCACUUUGUGGCUGAACAAGGCUCGAUCUGCUCUGGGGCUGGACCCGUGGGCUCGUCUCAAGGUCUCUGAUGAAGAUGAUGGUCACCUGGCACCAAAAAAGAGGGACAUCCACCAUGCUACGCCUUCCAGCCCGGAGUCUCCGCUUGCUUACUGGUCGCCGCAGGCUGACACGGCCCCUCAGCUGAAGACCAUGAAGGCUUCGUUGGACCCUCCUUGUGUCAUUUGA